UCAAAACUUUCAACAACGGAUCUCUUGGCUCUGGCAUCGAUGAAGAACGCAGCGAAAUGCGAUAAGUAAUGUGAAUUGCAGAAUUCAGUGAAUCAUCGAAUCUUUGAACGCACAUUGCGCCCGCCAGUAUUCUGGCGGGCAUGCCUGUUCGAGCGUCAUUUCAACCCUCAAGCCCCAGUCGGCUUGGUGUUGGGGACCGGCCCCGGCCGCCCCCCAAAUGCAGUGGCGACCUCGCCGCAGCCUCCCCUGCGUAGUAGCACAACCUCGCACCGGAGCGCGGAGACGGUCACGCCGUAAAACGCCCAACUUCUCUAGAGUUGACCUCGGAUCAGGUAGGAAUACCCGCUGAACUUAA
Molecule: small RNA, 355 nt
Filed under: uncultured fungus
Lineage: Eukaryota; Fungi
Description: eukaryotic LSU rRNA
Rfam family: 5.8S ribosomal RNA (bases 5-158)
Source: RNAcentral